This 925-nucleotide ribosomal RNA is filed under the name uncultured Bacteroidota bacterium. RNAcentral describes it as "bacterial SSU rRNA". It matches the Rfam family "Bacterial small subunit ribosomal RNA", at positions 1 to 916 of the family's 1533-position model. Lineage: Bacteria; Pseudomonadati; Bacteroidota. The record is from RNAcentral.
UGGAUCCACACUUUGAUUAUGGCUCAGGAUGAACGCUAGCGACAGGCUUAACACAUGCAAGUCGAGGGGCAGCGGGGAAGUAGCAAUACUUCCGCCGGCGACCGGCGCACGGGUGAGUAACACGUAUGCAACCUGCCCUUGUCAGGGGGAUAAUCGGAAGAAAUUCCGUCUAAUACCGCAUAACGCCCCUGGGAGACAUCUCCAGGGGGCCAAAGAUUUAUCGGACAAGGAUGGGCAUGCGGCGCAUUAGUUAGUUGGCGGGGUAACGGCCCACCAAGACGACGAUGCGUAGGGGUUCUGAGAGGAAGGUCCCCCACACUGGUACUGAGACACGGACCAGACUCCUACGGGAGGCAGCAGUGAGGAAUAUUGGUCAAUGGCCGAGAGGCUGAACCAGCCAAGUCGCGUGAGGGAAGACGGUCCUAUGGAUUGUAAACCUCUUUUGCCGGGGAGCAAAAUCGUCCACGCGCUGGACGUUCGAGAGUACCCGGAGAAAAAGCAUCGGCUAACUCCGUGCCAGCAGCCGCGGUAAUACGGAGGAUGCGAGCGUUAUCCGGAUUUAUUGGGUUUAAAGGGUGCGUAGGCGGACUGUUAAGUCAGCGGUAAAAUCGAGAGGCUCAACCUCUUCCCGCCGUUGAAACUGGCAGCCUUGAGUGGGCGAGAAGUAUGCGGAAUGCGUGGUGUAGCGGUGAAAUGCAUAGAUAUCACGCAGAACUCCGAUUGCGAAGGCAGCAUACCGGCGCCCAACUGACGCUGAAGCACGAAAGCGUGGGUAUCGAACAGGAUUAGAUACCCUGGUAGUCCACGCAGUAAACGAUGAAUGCUAAUUGUCCGGGCCGAAAGAGGCCUGGGUGAUAAAGCGAAAGCGUUAAGCAUUCCACCUGGGGAGUACGCCGGCAACGGUGCAACUCAAAGGAAUUGACGA